GGAAUAUUGCACAAUGGGGGAAACCCUGAUGCAGCCAUGCCGCGUGUGUGAAGAAGGCCUUCGGGUUGUAAAGCACUUUCAGUAGGGAGGAAAGGGUGUAACUUAAUACGUUAUAUCUGUGACGUUACCUACAGAAGAAGGACCGGCUAACUCCGUGCCAGCAGCCGCGGUAAUACGGAGGGUCCGAGCGUUAAUCGGAAUUACUGGGCGUAAAGCGUGCGCAGGCGGUUUGUUAAGCGAGAUGUGAAAGCCCUGGGCUCAACCUAGGAAUAGCAUUUCGAACUGGCGAACUAGAGUCUUGUAGAGGGGGGUAGAAUUCCAGGUGUAGCGGUGAAAUGCGUAGAGAUCUGGAGGAAUACCGGUGGCGAAGGCGGCCCCCUGGACAAAGACUGACGCUCAUGCACGAAAGCGUGGGGAGCAAACAGGAUUAGAUACCCGUG
Molecule: ribosomal RNA, 440 nt
Filed under: uncultured Shewanella sp.
Lineage: Bacteria; Pseudomonadati; Pseudomonadota; Gammaproteobacteria; Alteromonadales; Shewanellaceae
Description: bacterial SSU rRNA
Rfam family: Bacterial small subunit ribosomal RNA
Source: RNAcentral